This is a long non-coding RNA of Polypterus senegalus (gray bichir), 423 nucleotides long. RefSeq lists it as uncharacterized. NCBI's taxonomy places the organism in Eukaryota, Metazoa, Chordata, Cladistia, Polypteriformes, Polypteridae. The record is from RefSeq and is a predicted model, not a curated record. The transcript is spliced from 4 exons.
CAAAUUGCACAUUCUGUCCUGUUGAGUGGCUACAACAUUUGAAUACGUGUUAUUUCAUUUCUAAGGAAAAUGAAACUUGGCUUAACAGCAUAAAAUUCUGCAACUCAUUUCUGGCUCACCUUGUUAAAAUCGAGGACAACGAUGAACUGGAGUUUCUCAGAAACAAAACAGUACAUGCAGAAUACACUUAUUGGAUUGGAUUGUGGCAACAAUAUACUUAUGACGUUUGGAGAUGGCUUGAUGGCACACCACUGGAUACUCAGAAACUCCAAGUCUUGAACACCCAAAAAUGAAUACAGCAAAAAAAGCAAGAACAGAUAGUGGAAGAUCAUUCCAAGAGGCCUGGACAGAGUCAUUUGAAGUGAUUGAACACAAUGGGAAAACGUGACGAAGCGGAAGCGGAAGUAGAAGGAGACAAUGGCC